CAAAGAGAUCUACAACUAGUUUGUAUUCAUUUGGAAUUUUCAGUACCCAUUUUCCAAGAUAGACAAGAGAUUCACAAAUUUUCCGUCUCUGAAAAUGCUCCUGUUUCUGCCUUGAAGGGCUGUAUCAUAUCUAGCCUGUAAGAAACAAGAGAGGUCUGUGAAGAACAGCUUGGGGAAAAAAAAGCUUUGUCCCUCAAAACUGAUGUUAGUGCUUCAUAAGCCAGAAACAAUGGGAAAGAGGCACCUCACCGAUACCAAGAUGUAUGAUGUUGCUGUUCAGUUGAAAGGUUCGCAGGAGGUGGAAGUAGAGAAGAGAAAGAAAGAGAACUCCUUGAACUUGAAAACAGACCAUCAAUGCUUUAUGGUCUGCCAAUACAAGAACAUCAUCAAUCUAAUAUAAACAGUUUGGUCAAAUGUCUUUGGGACCUAUCUAUUGGGACCUAUUACUUGGGACCUAUUCAUUACUAUUAUAAUUAAUAGUAUUCUUUUGGAAAAUAUGUCACUGUAUUACAUUCAUGUGUUAAUUAUGAAUGCAAUUCACAAAUCUGUGAUAAAAGUUACACUGCACCAGACACUCCAGACACAGGGCUAAAGAGGACUGAUAUUGCCACACAUAAAGAAGUAUUUAUUACAACAGGAAUAGAGUCAUGUAACAAGCAAGUGCAAGCAAUUGUGCUUCUUGGUAGCACAAAUACAGAACCAUGCAGUAUUACAGAGGUGCCUAAGGUGGGGGCCUUAAGAGAAUCUGAACAUUCUGACGUUGAGAAACAAUGCUUAGAGGUAUUUGUUGUUGUUGGUGUUGCUAUAAAAAUCCUCCCCUUUCAUGAACAUUUUUUCUUUACUUAUUUUAUGUGUUUGUUUGAUUCCCUAAUUUAGGCUUUAAAAUGUGCUGACUUUGUAGUCAUAAUUAUGGUACGCUUUUCAAAAUUGUUAAUGCGGGUGACCAAAACCAAUCCCUACCCUUUACAGGCCUGCCACAAUCCUAUUGAUAGCGGCAACUGCCAGCUGAAGGUUUUGGAUCUUGUGAUUGCAAUGGAAACUGGCACGAUCAAUCCACUUAUUUGCUAAAUUACCCGUGCUUCCUCUACUGUAAUUCCCCCCUGCCCCCUGCGAGACAGAGUCUCGCUCUGUCGCCAGGCUGGAGUGCAGUGGCCCGGCAUGAUCUCGGCUCGCUGCAAGCUCCGCUUCCUGGGUUCAGGCGAUUCCCCUACCUCAGCCUCUGGAGUAGCUGGGAUUACAGGCGCGCGCCACCACCCCCAGCUAAUUAUCAUUAUUAUUAUUUUUGUAUUUUAGUAGAGAAGGGAUUUCACCAUGUUGACCAGGAUGGUCUCGAUCUCCUGAUCUCGUAAUCUGCCCUCCUCGGCCUCUCAAAGUGCUGGGAUUAUAGGCUUGAGCCACCGUGUCCUCUACUGUAAUUUUACUUGCCCCCUGUGGGGUAAAUAUUUUCAACAUACUUUUUGGUACUGCAGUAAAUCACAUUCUAUCCUCAAGGAUGAAAAGCAGGAAGAUUCUUAUUCAUUAGAAUAGAGUUUCUUCCCAAACAUCCAUGCAAGUUUAAAGGCUCCUAUUGACUAUGUAUUAGAAGCACUUUUUUUGUUGUGUUUUGUUUUUUACUGAAAUGAUAUUGUUGGCUCUACAAACAAAUGAAACCCAAUAAUGGGUUUCUCUAUUCUUGCUGGUCUUUUCCUUCUUAAAAGAAUCAUGUGGUCAUUCCUUAUUUGAAAAAAAAAAAGAAAAAGACACUGAAAUGCUGCAAUGCCUGAUAAGGAGAAUCUGCAACACUUGGGCAUCUUGUGUAUAAGAAAAGAUUCUUAUCCUUAUGCUACUGUCAUGGAGCUUGGAUAUUUACAAACCUACCGCUUUUGACAAGCUUGUGAGAAUUUACAUAGUCUCACACCGCCCCUAAUUUUUAUGGCAGAAUGUGUCUCACAUUUGUAAUAUUCUCAGAGCUCCUCAGGAUUCUAACCUCUCUAACUAGAGAUGGUUUCUGAGCAGGCAAGAAGGAAAAAGAGGCAAAAACUGAUUGCAUCUUUUGUUCGCUUUUCAAAGCCAGAUCUCGAAAUUCCCAAGAAUCCUUAAAGUUGGAGACAUGUAGCUAAUGGAAUUCUAGUCAAUCCACAUAUUUAUGUGUUUGGAAAGUGGCUGUUAUCAGUUCUUCUUAACCAUGUGCACUAUUGUCAGGGCCCUUCCAGGCAGCCACACCUGACGAAAGCUGUGAUUGCCCUAGAUUUCCACUAGAGACCUCUAGCUGAUCACAGGAGCCUGGAAAGCAGCUCUCAUUACUGGGCGUUUCUCUAGAAGCAGCAGAGGAUAAGAGUUUGCCAGUUGCCCCUGGGAGAAGGUGGACUUUACCAUCAAAGGAAAAUAAUUCUGUAUAAUCUUUCUCUCUCUCAUUUUUUUUUAAAGCAAAUUGAGGCUUAUUCAAGUAGGUAUAUUGUGAAACACUGAAGAGGAAAUAAUUUCUGUGUCUUAAAGCUAUGGCAUACAAAAGACAAAAUAGAGAUUUUUAUAGAUUGAAAGGCCCCUUCUCUAAGGGGCUGUUCAUACUGAUAUUUGGAGGCCAGCCUCAAUUCUCAGUGUUUGAGAGCUUCUCCUGACAGGUAUGAGGGAGAAUGAGUUUACUCGCAGUCUGAGAGCUUUUAGGCAUUAUUGUGAAGCUGAACAAAGUGCUCCCUGUGCCCCACCAUGCCCCAGCCUUUUACUGCAGCCCCCUAUAUGUGAAGGAUGGUAGCCCUCCGGGUGCAUACCACCUUCAAUGCCAGGCCUAUAGCUGUAAUCCCAUGCAACAGAAACAGAUGGGAUACAUCUGUAAGGAGAGACUGGUAGAUGAAGUUUCACCGUUUUUCCAAAAACGCAAAACACAUUAAUCUCCAUUUGCCUUUGAAUAGUCUGCAGUAGAAACAGAGGACCAAAAGGGAAAAUAAUCUCCCCUCAUUUAACCUGUGCCCCUGUGAAAAAUUGUGAUAGCUUGUAUUUCAGAAACUGAGUGUAACUAAUUUUGCCCUCUAUCCAUGGUCUUCACUACACAGCAGCAUUAGAAAGAGAAUCAAAAUCGGAUCAGAUCAAUGAAUCUAUAAAGCCUUUUUUGGAAUGUAUUGCCACCACGAGUUGAUCAGUUUCUCCAGAGGCCCUCUAAUACCCAGUUUUCUCUGGGGCAAUUGUAGAUCCUUUUGCAUUCAUUUUUAGGACAAAUCUUGUCAUUCUUUUAGGUAGACUGUCAUUUGUUCAUUCAUUUAUUCAUUUGUUUUUCAAAUGCCUAUGCUGCUCCAGUCGCUGUGAUUUGCAAAGAAAACACAAAUGAUGAUAUACAGGGCUUGAGUGGGAGUUCCUAACAUUGGAUCCACAGAUUCCUAAAAGUGAACGACUACUUCAAGAUGUCUGUAAUCCUCCUAAGAUGUGUGUGUGCUUUAACUAUGAGAAAAAUCCAAGAUUUAGAACAAUCUUUAAAGGGAUUGAUGUAAAAACUAUUGUAGAGGCUGACAGUUACACGAGCAAGUAAUCAGAAGACUACAUUAGAAUUGUCAUAUAGUAAAGAUACAGUAUGUACAGUGUCACAUGAGGUCACAGGUGGAGUUUUCUCAAUUGUCACUGAUGACACAGGUCAGUGAAGGCUACAGAGAAGGUAGCAUUUGUGUUAUAUGUGAAGGUUGAGUAGGAAGUGGUGAGAUGACUUGAAGGGAGGGUAGACGAAAGUCAGUGUGCUCUGAGGGGCAGUUCACCUCCAGGGUCUGAGGCCACCCUGCAAGUUGGAGCAUGAUUGGAAUUUUCUCUCCUGCAACCUGACAAAUGAAGCGCGCUUUGCCAUGAGUCAACUGUUACGGGAAAAGGAAUUCCACAGGCAUGCCCUGACUGACCACAAAUGGGCGAGAGCACAUGUGAGUACAGAAUGCCCAAAGGUUGGUGUGGAAUAAUCAAAACGAUUCAAAUGCUUGGUGCUGUACCAGAGUUGUAGGAGGCCUAGCCUCAGCACUGUACUGCUGCUCUCACUCUCCAACCUGCACUGGAGAGGAAGGUCAACUACAGUAGGUGGAGCUCUGCACCAGGUCCAGAAAGCAGACCUUGAUUCUGCAGCUGACCAUCUUCCUGCUCACUUAAUUCCACCAGCCUCCACUUCUGCUUCUGCACUUAACAGUUACAUUUAUUGAGGACCUCUAUAUCCCAGCCACCGUACUGGGAUACAGGUUAAGAUUAAGCUGUUUCUUUCAUGUGAGUCUCAUCACUGAGAUCUGAUUCCACCUACAAAGGUUGCCUCUAGGGCUUUAGAUUGAGAUGUUAUCAUGGACUGAACUGUGUCCCUGCAAAAUUCAUACGUUGAAGCCCCAGCUCCCAGUGUGGCUGUAGUUGGAGAUAAGACUUUUUUAAGGAGGUAAUCAAGCUUAAAUGAAGUCAUAAAGGUGGAGCUCUAAUCCAACAGGGUCGAUGCCCUCAUAAGAAGAGGAAGAGACAUCAAGAGUGCACAUGCACAGAGAAAAGGCCAUGUGAAGUCACAAGAAGAUGGCUGUCUGCAGGCAAAGGGGAGAGGCCUCACCAGAGACUAAUCCUGCCAGCACCAUAAUCUUCAACUUCCAGUCUCCAGAACUUUAAGAAAAUAAAUUUAUGUUGUUUGAGCCCAUCAAUCUUGUACUUUGUUGUAGUAGCCUGAGCAGAGGAAUUCAUCUGGAUUGACUUCUUGUUGGUCUGGUGUUUAUUGUAUUCUGCCUGAAAUGGGUUGCAGACUUACCAAAUGUGACAGAUCUUGUACCAUGUACAUGUACACAGCUAAGUGUUCUUGAGAGGGCACUUUCUAAAAGACUUUAUACUCAGCUUAUUAGAGAGGAU
Molecule: long non-coding RNA, 4818 nt
Filed under: Homo sapiens (human)
Lineage: Eukaryota; Metazoa; Chordata; Mammalia; Primates; Hominidae
Description: HSALNT0088238
Source: RNAcentral